UCAAGAUUAGGAAGGGUUAGUCACACCUAAACCAGAACCAAGACAAGAAACUGAGAUAAGCAAAGGUAAAGGUGAGGUAGACCACAAUGAGCAGAAACCGGUAAGUACAGAAUACAAACCUCUUGUGUCAUACCCUAAUGCGACAAGGAAAGACAUCUCAGAUGAACAAUUUGGUAAAUUCCUUAAACUUUAAAAAAAUUACAUAUUAACUUACCAUUUAUUGAAGCUCUAUUGUAGAUGCCAAAUGCAAUGAAAUUU
This 258-nucleotide long non-coding RNA is filed under the name Gossypium barbadense (sea-island cotton). Its description in RNAcentral is "long non-coding RNA (GBAR_LNC012191)". Lineage: Eukaryota; Viridiplantae; Streptophyta; Magnoliopsida; Malvales; Malvaceae. The record is from RNAcentral.